CCGAAGACGGGGAGACCCGCGCCCUCCCCGAGGCCCCCAGCGGACCGCCCGACGGCGGCUCGGGCCCCGGCCGCGGGCGCCCCCUCUCCAGCGUCUCUGCGCGCCCGGCUGUGCUGCACCGGCCCGGGCGCCUGCUGAGUGCCGAGGGCCCCUGAGCGCCCUUUCCCGAAGAGCCAAGCCGCUUCGGAGCGUGCGGCCGUGUGUGUGUGCGAUUUCCCCGCCCCACGUCCCCCCGCCCCCGCCUCUGGUCCCCGGAGGAGAGCUUGGCGCCGGGGUGCGGCCGCGCCCCAGCAGAUGCUCGCCCAGAAGCGGCGAGCGGCCGCUGUCCCUUGUGUGUAACAUAGACCGCGGGAACUGCGGGGGGGCGGGGGGCUGGGGAGGACGGGGUGUUCUAUAAAUAUAGAUAUAAUUUUAUUUUCGAAGGUAGGAUGGUGUUAUUUAAUGGUGGCGGUGGGUGGAGUGACAGGGCGCUAGAACAGCUCCGGCCCACCCUGGGGCGGGCGCCCAUCCAAGCGUGAACAGGACUUGGCCAGCUUUCCAACCCCUGGGAAAACCUUUGCGACUGCCGUGGGGCUGCGAGGACACAGCUUCCAGACUCCGGUCUCCUGCGGGCCAGCCCCGGGCGCACCCCUCACCAGCCCUGGGCCGGAGGAGGGAGAGAGUGCUUUGGGUCUUUCUUUUGCCAUAAGCGAACUUUGUGCCUGUCAUACAAGUGGAAAUCGUUCAGUCCAAGAAACUGAUGUUAUUUGAUUUAUUUAAAAGCUAAAACUUGUUCGGGUUUUUUUUUUUUUUUUUUGGAAAGAAUUCUUUGCACAAUUGUUUUAUUGUUUGACACUUAAUGCACUUGUCAUUUGCAUAAGAAAGUAGCAUUCUGACCACCCCUGUACGCUGUAACCUCAUCUACUUCUGGUGUUUUGUUUGUUUUGUUUUUUUUUUAAAGAUGAUGACUUUUAAAAAAACAAAGAGAAAAAAGAAACCACUAAUUUUUGUUUUCUAGAAAAAGUGGCAACACUGUUUUGCGAUUUUAUUUGUGCAGGUAUGCGCACUAUUUUGAUAAAGGGCAGUAACAAGUAUUGGGACCUAUUUAACUCCCCCUUCCUUUUUUUUUUUUUUUUCUUCACAAGGCAGUCUCAAAAGCUAUGUGAAAUUUUCUCUGCAUCUCUGUACAGAGAAUGAACCUGCCCCUAGCCUCUCCUUUCUUACCCUCCCUUCCCCACCCAGUGGUACUUCUACUAAAUUGUUGUCUUGUUUUUUUAUUUUUUAAAUAAACUGACAAAUGACAAAGUGGUGAGCUUAUGAUGUUUACAUAAAAGUUCUAUAAGCUGUGUAUACAGUUUUUUAUGUAAAAUAUUAAAAGACUAUGAUGAUGA
Molecule: long non-coding RNA, 1370 nt
Filed under: Canis lupus familiaris (dog)
Lineage: Eukaryota; Metazoa; Chordata; Mammalia; Carnivora; Canidae
Description: lncRNA (ENSCAFG00000055176.1)
Source: RNAcentral